This 4629-nucleotide long non-coding RNA is filed under the name Helianthus annuus (common sunflower). RNAcentral describes it as "hypothetical non coding rna". The record is from RNAcentral. Lineage: Eukaryota; Viridiplantae; Streptophyta; Magnoliopsida; Asterales; Asteraceae.
GGUUAAAUUGGGUAAGAAUUAAUUGAUGGAAUUUGGCAAAAGUUGGAAAGGUUUCGGAUUUAUAUUUUAGGGGGUAAACCCACACGAAGUGUGAGAAAUUGUCAAUUAGCACCAUGUAAUAUUUAUAUCCUGUUUUACUCGUGAUUGGCGAAGUCCAUAAAUCGCAAUGAAUAAUAUCAAAAGGAGCAAAAGUAAAUGUAUUAGACGAAUAAAACGGUAAUCUUUUACUAUUCGAAAGUUGACAAGAAUUGCAAAGAUUGUGACUUUUGUCCUUAUUACAUUGAAAAUUAAAAUUACGAUUUAAAAUAUCUAGAACUUGCGCCCCGGGAUGUCCUAAACGAUCAUGCCAAGGUAGAUGGUGGGAAGCAAUAAAGGUGGCUUGAGGCGGCAGUUGAGGCGGCGUGAACGUGUAAAGAGUCCCGGUACUAUUGUGGCGAGAUAGUGUCUUCUUAGUUUUGAGGUCCUUCAAAGAAAAACCAAACGGGUCAAAUUCGACAGACACUUGAUUAUCACGAGUAAAACGUCUAACGGAAAUAAGAUUUUUAAUUAUUUGAGGGCUAUAAAGGACGUUUGGGAGUAUGUAGGUUCGGUUUGGUAAAGGGUGAAAACCCGUACCUGAUCCUUUAAUUGGUAAAUACAUGCCAUUACCGACCAAAAUAUUACGACAAAUAGGAGAAGAAUCAGGGAUUAUGAUUUUACCUUGCUCUUUAGUGACGUGUGACUCGGCUCCUGUAUCCAUAACAUCGGAGUUCCAAGCGAAGUUCGAACCAUUAACCUGCAUAUUUGCCAUGGCAGCACUCAAAUCAGUUGGGCAGAGGGGAUUGUAGGCGGGCUGCGAGAACCCGGGUGGAGCAAACUGGGCCGCGGCAUAACCCGCAGCCGGAGUGAACCCGGUAAACUGGGCCUGCUGGGCCGAAGACUGAUCUGGUUGCUUGUUGCUGGGCCACGACUGUUGGGUCGGGUAGGGGCAAGGUGGAGGUGUCCACCAAGCCCACGUCGGAAAAGAAGGCUGCUGCGGCUGACCUGGAUAAGCGGACCAUGGGGAUUGCUGCGACCGACCCCUGCCCCUGCCUCGGCGGUUUGAAGCCCCGCCCCUGCCUCUGCUGCCGCGGCGAUUUGUGGACGAAUACGAGGCUUCAGAGGGCUGGUUGCUAUUGGAAGAGUGCUGAUUAGUUGAAGUUGGCGCUGUAGUAGCAGCUAGGACAGUGUGCGAUGCACCCUUUUGAGCCUCGAUACGGAUGACUUCGUCAUUAAGCAUGACGAUGGCCUGGUCCCAAUCAACGCCCUGCUGAUUAAUCAGGGAUGCAGUAGUGUUAUACUCGGCUGGAAGUCCGCGAACCAGCUGAAGAACAAGUCUGGAUUCGGUGACAGGCUGAUCAACGUCGGCCAAUUGGCUUGCUAAAUCAGACAGCUGUUGACAAUAGUCGUCAACCGAGGAGCAAGCUGUGAGAGUAAGAUUGCAAAACUUCGUCUCGAGCGCCGCAGCGCGAGCCUUUUUGUUGCUCAAAAAAAUCUUUUCGAGCUUCGUCCAUGCUGCUUUGGCUACAGUUGUAUCCAUGAGCCGUUUCAGAAGAUCAUCCGAAACGGUGCUGUAGAUCCACUGAAGAACCAAGGCAUCCAGUUCCUUCCAUUCAUCAUAUUCGGGUGAUGUAGUGGCUGGAGCGGCUGAAUCAUCGAUGUGGUUUGACACCUUAUAUGCGACGGCAUGAAGGCGAAACAGUUUGACCCAGGCAGUAUAAGUAACCUUCGAUCCGUCCAAAGUACGGAUCUUGGAUUGAAUGUUCGAUACAGAGUAUGCGGGGUGGAGGGAGUUGGGUUUGGUUGAUGAAUCAGCAGUGUCUUCUUUUGGCGGCAUGGUGACGAGACCGAACGAGUCCGGUUAGGGUUGUUGGACGGAAAAAACGAAGGGUAAAACGAGACCGAACGAGUCCGGUUAGGGUUGUUGGACGGAAAAAAAAAAAAACGAAGGGCAAAAGGCAAUCAGAAGCCGGUUAUGGCUCUGAUACCAUAACAGCAAAUAUGGUUGAUAAAGUGAAUGAAUAUUAUUGAUAAACAAGAGCCCUAUAUAUAGGGAGUCAUACAACCAAUAAUAAGGAAAGGAUAUAUACAAAUAAUACAAAAGAUUAUCUCUAACUAAUCAUAACAAUCUAUUCCUAAAAUAAUGAUAAUAAUCGGCUGGCUAAGACUUAGAUGAGUUUCAUCUUCAACCCCAAAUGUAUGAACCACGCUAUCCACCUUGAUUGAGCUAAACCCAAAUGGUUUCUUGAUGUUUUUCUUCACCAUCGUCUUCCAAACCGCUGCCGCAUCCUUCAACCGUCCCCAUAUAUCUUAGCCAAAGUUACAUACCGGCCACCACUAUUUGGAUCUAAAAUAAACAACUUCUGUGCAACAACUUCAGCAAGUUCAAUAUUAUUAUGCAUUCUACACGCACCAAGAAGAGCGCCAUACACAUCCUUGCUAGGUAACACAGGCAUCGAUUUCACAAACUCAACCGCUUCCAUCAGAUCAACCAUACAAGCGUAAUGUUCAUGACCUCUCCCCACACCAUAAACUUCCAUUUGUUUGAAAAUCUCACUGCCUUUCGAAACUAACCCUGCAUGACUACACGUUGAUAGCAAGCAUAAAAACACAACCCCAUCGGGCUGGAACCCGCCCUCCAAAAAGUUUGAGAAAAGAGUAAGCGCUUUGUGUGGGUUCCCAUGCAUGCCAUACGCCCUCAUCAUAGCGGUCCAUACCAUAAUAUUUCUUUCAGAUAUUUGAUCGAACACCUGGCGUGCAUAGUCCAAGUGUCCAGAGUUGCCAUACAUAGCGAUAAGACCGCUUCCCACCAUAGCAUCGUUUGUCAAACCUGUUUUUAUGGCAUAACAAUGAAUCCAAAACCCUAGUCGAACUUCUGCUACUUGAGCACAAGCGGGAAGAAUGCUAACAAGAGUUGCAUGGUCUGGUGUGCUACAAGAUGAUUCAUUCAUCAUGUAGAAAAGUAUGAAAAAGAUCAAGCGCUUCAAUAGCGCGGUCAUUGCUAGCGCAUCCAGAUAUAACCGUAUUCCAACUAACAACAUCCUUAUCAGGAAUCUCAUCAAACACCCUCCUACAUGCCUCUAUCAUUUGACACUUAGCAUAUAAAGCUACAAGAGCAGUUGUUUCGUUUUUAAUAACGCUACAUUGUAAACAAAACCAGUUUUAACCACAUGCCCAUGGAUCACACGACCAGUUGUUUCGUUUUUAAUAACGCUACAUGCCUUUAGCGUGAACGUAAACGUGUACUUGUCAAAGGCCACAUCAUUUUCACACAUCUCCUUAUACACAUUCAAGGCUUCAGUAGACAACCCAGAAUUCGCAUAAGUUUGAAUCAUCAUGUUCCAUAAGAAAACAUGCAUUUUAUGGAACACCUUACGUGCAUAGUUCAUGUGCAGCUGAUCCAGGCCAGCGUACAUGUUAAUAAGCUUAGACCCAAUAAAGACAUUUUGGCCGUAACCUCCAGUGAUGAUCUUAGCAUGCAUUUUGUGAAUGCAUCUUAUACUACCCUCACAUUCAGUUCAUGUGAAUCUUUCUUUGAGUUGAAUGAUAUGAAGCAUCUGACAAAAGCAAGACUUUGUGGGCAUGUGUUGGAAAGUGGAAAGAGCCCAUUUUGGUAUCUUUUUUAAGUUGAGUAGCAGCAUUCUUCCUACAAAUUACCACCAUGUAUAUCAGUAUAUCUAUCUAUCUAUCUAGCUGAUUAUUAUUAUUGUAAUAACAAUUUGGGAGACGAACUGGAUAGGGGGCAGGAAUCACCAAGUUGUUGUGAGGCAGAAUGAAACAGUGUAGGGUUUUAUGCUACGGAACAAGUGUAAAGGAAAUUAGGGAUGAGAGAUUCACCGAGAGUUAUCAAAAACCGCCAUCUGUUAAUUGAUUGGAGAAGUGUAUGGGCAUGUAUGUUUGGCUAAGCUUUUUAAACCAACUUAUUGGCUUUAUCAAAAAGUCAAUAAGUUAAAAUAUUGUUUGCCAUGGACUUUUUUAUGUUCUCACUUGGUGGAGAACUCGAUCAGUAUGCAUAUCAUCUUUUAUUUAAAAUUAUUCUUACAAUUCACAACUGAUAACACCAUCUGUUAUGAACCAUGCUCGCCCUACCUAACAGCCCGUUCAAGAAAACCGGUCCAUUGAAUCAUGAAGAAAUCAUCGCAGAUACGAAGAUUAAGAAAAUGGUCGUCAAGAAGAAUGAACUUAACGAUCUGAUUUCUCAUCUCCUUUCUCUCUCUCUGUAAUUCUUUCUAUUUCCCAUCCCAUUCCUGUAACCAAUUUCUUAUGAAUUAGUAACAAUAUGAACUGAUAGAUCUUGUGGGUGAUUGUUUAUAGCUUUCAUUGAAUCACUUCAUCAUCUAACUGUCACAGUUCAUCCGGAUGAUGACAGAAACCCCAUGCAUAUCCUUUCUGUAAAGGAAAAAUUACAAGUUGUCCUUUAUCUAUAUACCACUUUUCAGGUUUAUGAGAAACUUGGUGCUUCUGAUCAGAAUGGGAAUGUAACUUAGAAAGGGGCUGUGUGGUAGUAGUAGUAGUAGUAGCAGUUGCUACCGCAAAAGGUUCUAAAGUCUGUGCCUUUUUGAACCGUUGAAGACCUGUUCUGCCAUACAUGGUUUUCUGCAACAAAUUGCU